UUGGAGGGCAGUCUGGUGCCAGCAGCCGCGGUAAUUCCAGCUCCAAUAGCGUAUAUUAAAGUUGUUGCAGUUAAAAAGCUCGUAGUUGAAUUUCGGGAUCAGAGUGUCGGUCGUGCCUCGGUACGCACUGGUAUUAUUGGUUCCUACCUUCUGAAGAACCGCGAUGUCAUUAAUUUGGUGUCGUGGGGAAUCAGGACUGUUACUUUGAAAAAAUUAGAGUGUUUAAAGCAGGCUUACGCUUGAAUACAUCAGCAUGGAAUAAUGAAAUAGGACGUUUGAUUCUAUUUUGUUGGUUUCUAGGAUUGACGUAAUGAUUAAUAGGGAUAGUUGGGGGCAUUAGUAUUCAAUUGUCAGAGGUGAAAUUCUUGGAUUUAUUGAAGACUAACUACUGCGAAAGCAUUUGCCAAGGAUGUUUUCAUUAAUCAAGAACGAAAGUUAGGGGAUCGAAGACGAUCAGAUACCGUCGUAGUCUUAACCAUAAACUAUGCCGACUAGGGAUCGGAUGAUGUUAAUUUUUUAAUGACUCAUUCGGCGCCUUACGGGAAAC
RNAcentral lists this ribosomal RNA (547 nucleotides) under uncultured Glomeromycotina. Its description in RNAcentral is "SSU rRNA". It matches the Rfam family "Eukaryotic small subunit ribosomal RNA", at positions 548 to 1098 of the family's 1831-position model. Lineage: Eukaryota; Fungi; Glomeromycota. The record is from RNAcentral.